RNAcentral lists this long non-coding RNA (1004 nucleotides) under Chinchilla lanigera (long-tailed chinchilla). Its description in RNAcentral is "lncRNA (ENSCLAG00000026951.1)". Lineage: Eukaryota; Metazoa; Chordata; Mammalia; Rodentia; Chinchillidae. The record is from RNAcentral.
AAUUGCGGCAGGAGUGGGUGGGGGUCACAGAGAAGAAGAGAGAGAAUAUGCCUGGAGCUUUGUUGCUAUACAUAAUGCAGUUGUGAUCUGCCAUAAGUACCCCACUCAGCCAGAAGCUAUCACUAUUGCAGAGGGGGUGGGCAGGAGGGUGCUCUUAAACCACUGCACUUUCCCCUGGGCAUCAGUGAGCUCGUUGUUGCUGAUGGCCAGUUUUGGGCUAAGCUCUUAACAUUAUGGAACCCCUUACAUCACCUCUCACUGCAUUAUAAAACUGGCGUCUAGGCCCUGACUCCAGGCACUCCACACUUGUCCUCUGUGCUUGUUUGCAGUUGUUCCCCUAAGUUCCCUGCUCAAGGAGCAAAGAGGCUGUGUGAAGACAUAAGCAUGAUGAUCACAUUCCGGACCGCAGUGUUCUCAGAGAAAAAGCCUGGCCCAGGAGGAGGGCCCCCGGUGCCCGGGAAGGCACACAGUGGGGUGCGCUGGCCUUUGGGCCAGCCCCCUACCACCACCACGAAGGCACCUGGGAGGUGGGCCCCCAGCACCCAGGAAUCCGUGUGGCGGCGCAUGCCAGUCCUCAAACCAGCUGCCACCGCACAAUUGAGAACUAUCACUGCACAGAGAAGCAAUGACACAAUUGGCCCACCAUGCACCAGCUGUGGAGGCCCGCCCAUGAACGUGUAUGAAUCAUUCCAACAUGGAGAAACCCCUGGGAAUACAUGCCAUACAACAGGUUGCUCUUGCCCAUGCCGUUGAGAACCAGAAAGGUCCAGAGUCAGUGGAGGAUCAGCUGCUGAACAAGGACUCGCAGAACAUGAGAAUACAGACUAAGCCCGAUGAGUCAGAGGUCUACUUGACUGGGGUCACGAGAGCUGUUCAGAAGCUGGAAACCAGGAAGACCUUGUGCAAUACCUGGGGAGACUACCUGGAAGCCAUUCUUCCCCUGACAGUACAGGCUGCAGUGGAGGAGCACAUGGAGCUCCAGAGAGGUCUGCACUGAGAUUCCU